This 507-nucleotide ribosomal RNA is filed under the name uncultured bacterium. Its description in RNAcentral is "bacterial SSU rRNA". It matches the Rfam family "Bacterial small subunit ribosomal RNA", at positions 21 to 518 of the family's 1533-position model. The record is from RNAcentral.
GGUUCAGGAUGAACGCUAGCGACAGGCUUAACACAUGCAAGUCGAGGGGCAUCACGGGAGUAGCAAUACAACUGGUGGCGACCGGCGCACGGGUGAGUAACGCGUAUGCAACCUACCUAUCAGAGGGGAAUAACCCGGCGAAAGUCGGACUAAUACCGCAUAAAACAGGGGCACCGCAUGGUGAUAUUUGUUAAAGAAAUUCGCUGAUAGAUGGGCAUGCGUUCCAUUAGGUAGUUGGUGAGGUAACGGCUCACCAAGCCGACGAUGGAUAGGGGAACUGAGAGGUUGGUCCCCCACACUGGUACUGAGACACGGACCAGACUCCUACGGGAGGCAGCAGUGAGGAAUAUUGGUCAAUGGGCGGGAGCCUGAACCAGCCAAGUCGCGUGAAAGGAAGAAGGAUCUAUGGUUCGUAAACUUCCUUUGCAGGGGAAUAAAGUGCAGGACGUGUCCUGUUUUGUAUGUACCCUGAGAAUAAGGAUCGGCUAACUCCGUGCCAGCCGCAGC